Molecule: ribosomal RNA, 1471 nt
Filed under: uncultured Bacteroidota bacterium
Lineage: Bacteria; Pseudomonadati; Bacteroidota
Description: bacterial SSU rRNA
Rfam family: Bacterial small subunit ribosomal RNA
Source: RNAcentral
AGAGUUUGAUCCUGGCUCAGGAUGAACGCUAGCGGCAGGCCUAACACAUGCAAGUCGAGGGGUAGAAGCUUUCGGGCUUUGAGACCGGCGCACGGGUGCGUAACGCGUAUGCAAUCUGCCUUGUACUGAGGGAUAGCCCGAGAAAUUUGGAUUAAUACCUCAUAGUAUUUUAGUGUGGCAUCACAUUAUUAUUAAAGGUUACGGUACAAGAUGAGCAUGCGUCCCAUUAGCUAGUUGGUAUGGUAACGGCAUACCAAGGCUACGAUGGGUAGGGGUCCUGAGAGGGAGAUCCCCCACACUGGUACUGAGACACGGACCAGACUCCUACGGGAGGCAGCAGUGAGGAAUAUUGGUCAAUGGGCGAAAGCCUGAACCAGCCAUGCCGCGUGCAGGAUGAAGCAUCUAUGGUGUGUAAACUGCUUUUGUACGGGAAGAAACACCGCUACGUGUAGCGGCUUGACGGUACCGUAAGAAUAAGGAUCGGCUAACUCCGUGCCGGCAGCCGCGGUAAUACGGAGGAUCCAAGCGUUAUCCGGAAUCAUUGGGUUUAAAGGGUCCGUAGCGGUUUUAUAAGUCAGUGGUGAAAUCCGGCAGCUCAACUGUCGAACGGCCAUUGAUACUGUAGGACUUGAAUUAUUGUGAAGUAACUAGAAUAUGUAGUGUAGCGGUGAAAUGCUUAGAUAUUACAUGGAAUACCAAUUGCGAAGGCAGGUUACUAACAAUACAUUGACGCUGAUGGACGAAAGCGUGGGGAGCGAACGGGAUUAGAUACCCUGGUAGUCCACGCCGUAAACGAUGGAUACUAGCUGUUUGGUUGUAAGACUGAGUGGCUAAGCGAAAGUGAUAAGUAUCCCACCUGGGGAGUACGGGCGCAAGCCUGAAACUCAAAGGAAUUGACGGGGGCCCGCACAAGCGGUGGAGCAUGUGGUUUAAUUCGAUGAUACGCGAGGAACCUUACCAGGGCUUAAAUGUAGUAUGACAGGUUUGGAAACAGAUCCUUCUUCGGACAUAUUACAAGGUGCUGCAUGGUUGUCGUCAGCUCGUGCCGUGAGGUGUCAGGUUAAGUCCUAUAACGAGCGCAACCCCUGUUGUUAGUUGCCAGCGAGUCAUGUCGGGAACUCUAGCAAGACUGCCGGUGCAAACCGUGAGGAAGGUGGGGAUGACGUCAAAUCAUCAUGGCCUUUAUGCCUAGGGCUACACACGUGCUACAAUGGGUGCUACAAAGGGCAGCGACCCUGUGAAGGGGAGCCAAUCUCAAAAAGGCACUCACAGUUCGGAUUGAAGUCUGCAACUCGACUUCAUGAAGCUGGAAUCGCUAGUAAUCGUAGAUCAGCAAUGCUACGGUGAAUACGUUCCCGGACCUUGUACACACCGCCCGUCAAGCCAUGGAAGUCGGGUGUACCUGAAAUCGGUAACCGCAAGGAGCCGCUUAGGGUAAAAUCGAUAACUGGGGCUAAGUCGUAACAAGGUA